Neopelma chrysocephalum (saffron-crested tyrant-manakin) is the source of this 1172-nucleotide long non-coding RNA. RefSeq lists it as uncharacterized. The record is from RefSeq and is a predicted model, not a curated record. Lineage: Eukaryota; Metazoa; Chordata; Aves; Passeriformes; Pipridae. The transcript has 7 exons.
CAAAGUGCGAAGCAAAGGCGAGCAGAGGUAGAGCAUGCACUGCAGGGACUCCAUCCACAUCAUCUGCCCUGGUGGAGACAAGCCAUGGGCAACUGGAUGAACAGCUUGAAAACUAAGAGGAUUGAAACAUCAGAGAUACCAUGUGAAUUAAUCCCCUACAGCAUAAGAGAAAGAAUACCAGAUUUGACACUUAUUAUGUAAAGUUUGGAAAACAAAUUGACUGUUGAUGAAUUUCUGAAUGCUGGAGAUGGUGAAGGGCACUUCCGGGUGAACGAUCCUGAAGUACUGAUCCAAGGAGAUGCCCAUGGUCUGAACGCCAGCAAAUAUUCUCUCCACAGAGUUGGGAGCAAGAGGAACUGUAGCUUGGUGGGAACCUGAGCUAAUUGGAAACCUGCCACAGGAAGCCCUGCCAAGGGGUGGCACAGUAUGUGUGCCCAGGAGAGGAGACUCAAUCUUCCCUCAGCAGGGGGUCCAUGGUGGAAUUUCACUGUAUCAGAAAUCACUUUUCGAAAGGACUAUGGAAGAAGAAAGCAAUGUAUGUCGUUCUUACUAUCGCCACCAUGAUGAGGAUACGCACACAGGAGGCUUUGUCGACAAGCUGCAUUGUGAUCUCAUCUUUGUAAACCUCAAAAGUCAAGAAAGAAUCCUGGACUCCAGCCUGCAGUCUACAACAGAGAAGACAAUAGUCCUGCCUCAGCAGUGCUGUAAAUACAACAUGCUUGGGUGACCCAACUGGCAUUUGUUAAGCACUGUUUACUGUGAACACUCCUUAAUCUCCUUCAAGUGUUAUAGUGGAACACACUACUGCCCAUAAUGAUGUAAGAUUAAAUUGCUUUAAAUUAAUUAAAUUGCUUUAAAAUGGCUGAAUGGUGGUGUUCACCCCUCCAUUUCUGCUAUUUUAUGUUAUGGUGUAGCAGUAAACUCUUUCAAGGAUUCAGGAAUCGUACUGUGGGGUACUUGAGCAACCAGAGUCUUAGUUUGUCUUCUGUUCAGCUCCACAAAGUGUCUGGUGUAUUUUUUUUUUAAUAUUAGCUUCAAAGAUUAAUAUAUGUAUGUAUUUAAGUAUCAUUUAUAUGUCUUUAUAUAUUGGAAAAUACCAUAUAGUUCAUAAAGUAAAGGCAAAAGCAGAAGUGGACAGGUUGGAUGGGCUUUGAGCAACCUGGUCUAGUGGA